This 428-nucleotide ribosomal RNA is filed under the name uncultured bacterium. Its description in RNAcentral is "partial 16S ribosomal RNA". It matches the Rfam family "Bacterial small subunit ribosomal RNA", at positions 354 to 796 of the family's 1533-position model. The record is from RNAcentral.
GUAGGGAAUAUUGCGCAAUGGACGAAAGUCUGACGCAGCGACGCCGCGUGAGUGAUGAAGGCCUUAGGGUCGUAAAGCUCUGUUGAAUGGGAAGAAAAAAAUGACGGUACCAUUCGAGGAAGAACCGGCUAACUUCGUGCCAGCAGCCGCGGUAAUACGAGGGGUCCUAGCGUUGUUCGGAAUCAUUGGGCGUAAAGGGUGUGUAGGUGGCCAUGUAAGUCAGGUGUGAAAGCCCCGGGCUCAACCCGGGAAGUGCACUUGAUACUGCGUGGCUUGAGUACCGAAGAGGGUAGUGGAAUUCCAGGUGUAGUGGUGAAAUACGUAGAUAUCUGGAGGAACACCGGUGGCGAAGGCGGCUACCUGGUCGAGUACUGACACUGAGACACGAAAGCAUGGGGAUCAAACAGGAUUAGAUACCCGUGUAGUCC